This is a long non-coding RNA of Mangifera indica (mango), 609 nucleotides long. RefSeq lists it as uncharacterized. Lineage: Eukaryota; Viridiplantae; Streptophyta; Magnoliopsida; Sapindales; Anacardiaceae. The transcript is spliced from 4 exons. The record is from RefSeq and is a predicted model, not a curated record.
GAAAAACAGAAGCAGAGGCGAGAAAGAGUAGAAAGAAAAGGGAAAGCAGAGGCGAGAAAGAGAAGAAAGAAAAGGGAAAGAUGAGAAGAAGGCAAAAAAAAAAGGAGACGAAGACGGAAAUAGAAAAGGAAAUGGAUGGGAAAGAAGAAAAGAAAAGAUAAGGAAGGAGGAGGGAUUCAUAGAGAAUUUCAACACUAGCUUUGAGUCUACUCAAAUCAACAUGACAGAUUUUAGUGUUAUGCCCGAGCAAGAUUACAAGAUGUCGGGUAUGACAGUUUUCUUCGCUCUGCCUAUAUAGGGGAUACUCACCAGGACAUCUCCAGGGUCGUGCCAAGCCGUGAUUCCGCUCAAGGUUGUGCCACCAUAGAACAUCUUCCAUCGGUGUCGUAUUUGUUGUGUAUGUGGAUCUAGUGAAUUUAUGCAAAAAAAAAAAAAAAUUGAAUGGCUAGAAGCCUAACAAAAAACUUAUUCUCAUGUUUGAAUGGAAUAUAAGAUGUAUUUAUGUGUGUGUGUUUGUGUUUUGUGGAAUAUUUGAGCAGCUUUACAAGAUACGUUUCGACCUCCUAAGUCUUAUAAGAGUGUUCGGAUAUUACAAGUUUAGCAGAUCAA